RNAcentral lists this long non-coding RNA (5483 nucleotides) under Homo sapiens (human). RNAcentral describes it as "HSALNT0289662". Lineage: Eukaryota; Metazoa; Chordata; Mammalia; Primates; Hominidae. The record is from RNAcentral.
GACCUCCCGCCCCCGCUGCGCGCGUUUCUGGCCCUGCCAGUGUCUCCGCCGGUUGAAAGCGCGUGUCUGCGUCGGGUUCUGUUGGAGUGCGUUCGGUGCGCCGUGGGUCCGCGCUGCUUCCACCCAACUUCCUGUUAGUUUCUCUCCUGUCACAAUGGCAUGAUCUCGGCUCACUGCGACCUCUGCUUCCUGGGUUCAAGGAUUCUCCUGCCUCAGCCUCCCAAGUAGCUGGGAUUACAGUUUCCAUCAUUAUCUUCUAUGGAGUUCUUCAUUCCCACAUCUGUGGACCUUAAAAUCCUACCGUUGAGUGCCUGCCUUGGAUCAGCAGUCAGUUCGUUACCUUGGUUCUCAGACGAUGCUUGCAACAACGCCAUGCGAUUCGCCCACUCUUGGAGAAAAUAAGAGAAGUAUCCCUGAAGGAUGAAAUAUCCUCGAAUAUGAAAAGGUCUGCUCUCUGAAGACCAACUGUCUCAGUCUGCUUUUUGCUGCUGUAACAGAAUACCACAGACUUGGUUACAUUAGUUAUACACUCUGGAGGUGACUUGACCUGUCAUUGUGAACAAUUAUUGCUCUUGGACGACCCAGGACAUAGGCCAGCCAGUACGUACCCCAGUGUGUUGGAGAAUCGCGCUCGGCUUCUUCCUCUGUGCUGAGUCAUGAAAGUUGCCGGAGCAGGUGCAGUUACACAACCUCCAGGUAUGAUCCUGUUUAAGGACUGGAUUUAGGAUAACUACUUAGAGGUUAAAAGUCACAAGGGUGUAUGGAUGAGGCUGGAGUGAUCUGGGACCAAAGACAUCUAGGCUUGCUGUCAAGGCUUCUGAUCAACAUGAGAUGACCGCCGUGUGGUAAACUGAUGAACCCUGACCCUGAUCAACAUGAGAUGACCGCCGUGUGGUAAACUGAUGAACCCCGACCCUGAUGAACGUGAGAUGACCGCCGUGUGGUAAACUGAUGAACCCCGACCCUGAUGAACGUGAGAUGACCGCCGUGUGGUAAACUGAUGAACCCCGACCCUGAUGAACGUGAGAUGACCGCCGUGUGGUAAACUGAUGAACCCCGACCCUGAUGAACGUGAGAUGACCGCCGUGUGGUAAACUGAUGAACCCCGACCCUGAUCAACGUGAGAUGACCGCCGUGUGGUAAACUGAUGAACCCCGACCCUGAUGAACAUGAGAUGACCGCCGUGUGGUAAACUGAUGAACCCCGACCCUGAUCAACAUGAGAUGACCGCCGUGUGGUAAACUGAUGAACCCCGACCCUGAUCAACAUGAGAUGACUGCCGUGUGGUAAACUGAUGAACCCUGACCCAUUAGGCUUUGGCUACAGAAUGUGGAAAUAAGUUGUGUUACUACAUGUGUGUAAUCCUAGGGUGCAGGACACCGGCCGGGAGGUUCCAUAGAGUGAUGGGUUCUGCAGGUAACUCAUCCUCUAGUCCUCUGUAAGCUCCUAGAAGGAAGAAAUUAUGUCCUUUAGACUAAUAAAAUUCCUCCAAACCAAAUACAGCACCUACUGUGAAGACACAAAGAUACUUUUAGAAUAGUAAAAACUUUAUCCAUUGAGAAAUUCCUUAAUGAAACAGUAUCCAAGAAGUCAUUUGCCAGCAGAUUUCUUAGAGGUGCGAUAAAGAAGAGGACAUUGCCAGUCGUCACAGCAGCUGCAAUAGCUCCUCUCUAUUGUUAAACAGUGGGAUAUCUUGUGCAGGUUUUCAGUUGACAAUCAAUUUUAAAGAUUAGUUUCGGUCCCCAUCAAUCAAUUAUUUAUUAACCCAUCAAUAAAAAUUUAAAUGCUCUGUGAGGUACAAUAGCUAUUAAAAGAGACAGAGGCACUUUCUGUGUCCAGAGGGGCUUUUAGUCUGCUCUGGAAAGCAAGAUGCGUGCAGAUGAGUGACGCAGUGCAUCGUGUGGAUGCAAAGGGAGGGACUCACAUGGGAACCAGAGGAGCUACGAAGGGAGGCAGUGGGGACUGGUGGGUCGAGACCUGGAAAUAACACAUGAAUAGGCAACAAAGGUUUCCUUUCCUCUUCCAUGCACUUCAGUCCUUGAAAAACGUCUUACCACGGAAUUCCACAGCGUACCAAGCGAUUCCACAGCUUGAUGGCACACUCUCCUUUCUCAGCAUUCUUGAAAAUGGCGUGUGAGCCAAGCCAUCUUACUGAGAAAUUACCUUAAACCAUUUGAUGAACCAAAAAUAUUUUGUAAUACCCAUCUCCGACAUUAGGUAGGCAAAUCACACAGAAACACCGAGGUCUUCUGAGUCAUAUUUAUCUGAAAAAUCACAGCUUGGGUGCAUGUGAAGCCAGAGGAGCACUCCUGGGGCCUGCGGUGCCAUCACUCAGCUCCCCUGGGCUUCACAUGGCCAUGGAGCACCCAGCAAGUGUAGGCUCUGAGCCUUCAGGGAGGGGCGGCAUCAGCCAGCACCAUCGUCUCCUGGGUCUUGUGCCUCUUCCUUGGUUGCGGUGUUGUCAGGGCCAGAAUUGGGCAAUUCCGGGUGACAUCCAGGUGUGGCUGCUGACACGGAGCACAGGACACCCUGCUCCUGUGGUUUGCAGCCCCGGCCUUCUCUUCGAGGACGCCUCUGCUCUUCUGCCUCACACUCGGAUUGGACCUUCUUCAGCACAGCCAGUGGCCGAGGCUUCCUCCCUGGGGCUCAGUGGAGCAGGACAGAUGCUGCAUCCAAACUCUUCCAUUGGGUUCCAGUCUGUUCCAGUCAUGCCCUUGAGCCUCUAAAGCUCCUAGGUGAGAGACGUAGCAGCUGACAGCACUUCCCACUUGAUUUGGGUGGACUCCAGCCUCCCCAGCAACAAUAAGAGAUCAAAAGCAUCGUUGAGGAAGCAGCUUGCUGAAACGCUGAGUGCCCGCCACUCUCAGGUCAGGUGGGACCGGCAGGCCAGCAUGAGUUCCUGAACACUUGGUUCUCAAUACUGGCCACAGCCACACUGUAAGGGGAAACAAGAGGGCACUGUAUGCAAACAUCUCUUGAACUCUGGAGUCUGCUCACCUUCCUGCCUCAAGCCCCUCUCCCACGUGGUCCAGUCACCAUUCUCCACAGAGACUACCCUAAAACCCAGCGACUCUCGUGUGCCUGCAGAAUGGCACAGCCCGUUCUCAUAGCAGCACUCCUGUUUAAUCAGAGGGAUGUUAACGACCAAGUCAUAUUUGCUCGAUUUGUGUUCAACAUAUUUCAUUUGUACCGAUAAAACUUAAAAAUAUCCCCACACAUGCAUUGCCUAUUAAAGAGUAUCUUCCAGGUACACCUCCCUUACACAUCAGUUAACUUGAUAAUUUCUUCCCAUUCUUGUGCAAUAAAUUUCCUUCCUGAUCAGCUCUGUCCAGCAGCAACAAUAAUCCACGUAGAGACAUGCAAACUAAAAGUCCGUUAGUGGAGGCACGAAGCUGAUGAGGCUUGGAAAAAAAUGACCGAUUUGAUUAAAAUUAGGACCCAUGGGAGUGGAGCUCUGCCUAUUUUAGAGGCAAAGUAAAUGCCUGGGAGUCCAAUCACCGACAUUCUGUUUGAGGUUUCUAAUCACAAGGAAGAUGGAGAAAAUGCAGAACAAGUGGUCAAGAACAGGGAGAUAAUAAAUAGAAUAUUUAUGGGCUGAGGAAAACAAUUACCAGGGGAAAGCCCAAGAAGCAAAGAUGAACAGAGAACGUGCUGACUGCGCUCGUUUGGAAAGGCCUCAUGGCCAAAGGAGGAGAGGCAUUAUGAGGAGCAGUGACCGAGUGGGCAGGACCCCCGGGGAUCAGGAAAGGUGCACGGGGGGAAAUGAGAGGCCUGAGCGGCUUCCCAGCGAAGGUUUUUGAAGCACGGUUUGAUUUUCUCUCUCCCCCUCACCAUCCCCAAAUUUUAGUUGUGACUAUCUCCAGGUACAUGGCUUGCGACAGGCGGUGUAUAAAAACUAAUGUCAGUUUAAUUUUAAAACCUUAGCCAUUUUCUGGAACUUAAAUAUCAAAGAGAAAAUGUCCACAUAUGAUGUUAAUUGAGGUUUGUCUCACUGGUGAUUUGUGCUGAUUCAAUUCCUGUUUCUUUUUUUUUUUCUUAAGGGGUCAGUUUUAGAAUUGGGAGAUAGGUGUAUAACAUAUGACUAUACAGCGCAGGUUGGUUUUUUAACAUAGAAAUAUCUGCCUUUAAAUGAGAACUGAAAACGGAGCUUCUUGGAGGCCACCUGCUGGUGGCAGUGAUCUGACCGCUGUUUAAGCUUUCUUUGAACUCCUUUUUUUAAAACAGCCUCCAUAAUCAAUGGUGUACGAUCUACUCUCGUGGUAAAACUUACUCAGUGAAGAGUGUGUUUUAUUUUCUGAGGAGCUGAACUGUUCCAACCUGAGUAUUCUGAAUAAGGACAGUGGUCGAGCAUGAGUGAUGCCAUCUGGGCUUAGAAAUAAGUGGGCCUAAAAUCUGAUUGUUUUCAUACAUUGUUCAGAUAUUGACGCAAAUAGCAAUUUAUUUUGUAAAAAAUGAUUGGUAUCCGGAACUUGCAACAGCUGUGUGUGGCUUGAAGGGAGAUGAAGUGGUGAAGGCCUGGUUUCCACCGAAGCUCUCACAGCCCAGCCUUUCACUGUGUGGCCGGGGGAAGGGUGCUCCGGGUGGGGGACGGGAAUGGUGGGACUGGGGAUGCCACGGGACAAGGCUGCUGGCCUGGAAGGUAGUCACGUGGAGAACCGCAGGAGAUGAGAUUGGAAAGUAGUAAUAAGCCAUGUGGAUAAGAACAGAGGAGCGGGUUUUAAGGGGGACGUCCUGAAAUGCUGCUCAUGUCGUUUCAGUUCCAUAGACCACAGGAAAUGCAGGUGAGAGGGCAGCCCGGUGGGAAGGAAGGAAGAGGGUGGUGGUGAGCCAGGUGAGUGUGGAGCCGCCCAGGGCACCGUGCUGUGCGAUAGCUCAGGCAUCGGGUGCUUCUGCCAAACCCUUCAGCAGCUGGUUUGGGGCCAAACGUCCUUCCUGUGUGAGAGAAGGCAGAGCCUAGGCAGCAUUCCAAACCCCAUCCAGAUGGGAGGCUGAGUGCAGAGCAAACGGAGCCCAGCACUCCAGAGCCGUGUCCCUUCACUGCCAUGAUCACAUCACAAACAGCGAGGCUUGGAGAGGACUUAAGAGCUCCUUCAAUGCCAUCUUCCAUCCACUGCGUGAGCCAGAAUAGAAAAAAAGGAAUAAGAAGAGGUCGGUUAAGCUCUCUAUUAAGUUGAGAAAAUGGGAACUUCAGGUGAUCAUGUGAGAUAUUCAAGUUAAAAAAAUUAUUUAAAAAGCACAUUCUUAUUAUUAAAAUUUUAGAAAGUACAGAGAAGGAAAUUUUAAUAACCUACACCUAGAACACUAAGAUACUGGUAACGUAGAAAAAUGUGUAGUUAAUGCCUUGAUGGAUUCUUUUCUAUUUUUUUCUCUAGCAAUAUUUAUGUCUAUCCACAGAAAGCGUACACUCAUGUAUUUGCAUGGCUAAUAUAUUUUAUGUAAAGUUCUAUAUAUUUCUCAACAUUUCACUUAAUAUUUCUUUAUAA